UACGUAGGGUGCAAGCGUUGUCCGGAAUUAUUGGGCGUAAAGAGCUCGUAGGCGGUCUGUCGCGUCUGCUGUGAAAACUCAGGGCUUAACCCUGAGCUUGCAGUGGGUACGGGCAGACUAGAGUGCGGUAGGGGAGACUGGAAUUCCUGGUGUAGCGGUGAAAUGCGCAGAUAUCAGGAGGAACACCGGUGGCGAAGGCGGGUCUCUGGGCCGUAACUGACGCUGAGGAGCGAAAGCAUGGGGAGCGAACCGG
Molecule: ribosomal RNA, 253 nt
Filed under: uncultured bacterium
Lineage: Bacteria
Description: partial 16S ribosomal RNA
Rfam family: Bacterial small subunit ribosomal RNA
Source: RNAcentral